GCGACCCCAGGUCAGGCGGGAUCACCCGCUGAGUUUAAGCAUAUCAAUAAGCGAAGGAAAAGAAACUUACAAGGAUUCCCCUAGUAACGGCGAGCGAACCGGGAAUAGCCCAACUUGAGAAGCGUCCUCAGCGGCGGACUGGGUCGAGUCCCCUGGAAUGGGGCACCAUAGAGGGUGAGAGCCCCGUUGCUCUCGGACCCUAUCGCACCAUGAGGCGCUGUCGGCGAGUCGGGUUGUUUGGGAAUGCAGCCACAAUCAGGCGGUAAAUUCCAUCCAAGGCUAAAUACGGGCGAGAGACCGAUAGUGAACAAGUACCACGAGGGAAAGAUGAAAAGGACUUUGAAAAGAGAGUCAAAGAGUGCUUGAAAUUGUCGGGAGGGAAGUGGAUGGGGCCGGCGAUGCAUCCCGAUCGGAUGUGGAAUAGCUAGAGCCGGUCUGCCGAUCGACUCGAGGUGCGGACCAGCACGGAUCGAUGCGGCGCUCAAAGCUCGGGCGGUCGAUAUGCUCAUUGUAUGGCGUUGCGCCGAUCCAGGCACACAGCACGCACCUAGUGCGUGCCUCGGCAAUAGCGCGUUCCUAGUGCUGGUAUGCGGGCUCCCCAUUCGACCCGUCUUGAAACACGGAUCAAGGAGUCUGACAUGUGCGUGAGUCAACAGGCGAUUAAACCCAUAAGGCGCAAGGAAGCUGACCGGCGCGAUCCCCCCGAGGGUUGCACCACCGACCAACCUUGAUCUUCUAAGAAGGGUUCGAGUGAGUGUACAUGUCGGGACCCGAAAGAUGGUGAACUAUGCUUGAGCAGGGCGAAGCCAGAGGAAACUCUGGUGGAGGCCCGCAGCGAUACUGACGUGCAAAUCAUUCAUUUGACUUGGGUAUAGGGGCGAAAGACUAAUCGAACUGUCUAGUAGCUGGUUCCCUUUAAAGUUUCCCUCAGGAUAGCUGGAGCUCUAGUGCGAGUUCUAACGGGUAAAGCCAAUGAUUAGAGGCAUCGGGGGCGCAAUACCCUCGACCUAUUCUCAAACUUUAAAUAGGUAGGACGGGAUGAACCGGAAGUCGGGUUAUGGUGCCCAACUGUGCACUAACCUAGAUCCCACAAAGGGUGUUGGUCGAUUAAGACAGCAGGACGGUGGUCAUGGUAGUCGAAAUACCCGGCCGUCGGGGCAAGGGCCAGGCCCCGAUGCGUAGGAGGGCGCGGCGGUUGUUGCAAAACCCUGGGCGCAAGCCCGGGCGGAGCGGCCGUCGGUGUGGAUCUUGGUGGUAGUAGCAAAUAUUCAAAUGAGAACUUUGAAGCCCGAAGAGAGGAAAGGUUCCAUGUGAACGGUACUUGCACAGACAGCGCAUUCAGUGCGUGCUCCAAAAGGGAAUCAGGUUAAAAUUCCCGAACCAGGAUGCAGCGGUUGACGACAACAUUAGGGAGUCGGGAGACGUCGGCAGGGGCCUCGGGAAGAGUUAUCUUUUCUGUUUAACAGCCUACCCAUCCUGGAAACGGCUCAGCCAAAGGUAGGGUCCAGUGGCUGGAAGAGCACCGCACGUCACGUGGUGUCCGGUGCGCCCCUGACGCCCCUUGAAAAUCCAAAGGACCGAGUACCGUCCGUGCCCGGUCGUACUCAUAACUGCAUCAGGUCUCUAAGGUGAACAGCCUCUGGUCGAUGGAACAAUGUAGGCAAGGGAAGUCGGCAAAAUGGAUCCGUAACCUUGGGAAAAGGAUUGGCUCUGAGGGCUGGGCACGGGGGUCCCAGUCCUGAACCCAUCGGCUAUCGGUGAACUGCUCGAGCUGCUCGCACGGCGAGAGCGGGUCGUCGCGUGCCGGCCGGGGGACGGACUGGGAACGGCUCCCUCAGGGGCCUUCCCCGGGCAUCAAACAGUCGACUCAGAACUGGUACGGACAAGGGGAAUCUGACUGUUUAAUUAAAACAAAGCAUUGCGAUGGUCCCUACGGAUGCUCACGCAAUGUGAUUUCUGCCCAGUGCUCUGAAUGUCAAAUUGAAGAAAUUCAACCAAGCGCGGGUAAACGGCGGGAGUAACUAUGACUCUGAAUAUAGAUGUUAAUAUUCAGAAAAAGGCUGAAGCCAGAAACAAUGUACAAAAGCAAACCUCAACGACUAAGGUCGAAAUCUAGGCCCCAACGAUACAAACAUCGAGAGGGUCCGAGCACUAUCAUCUAGCUAGAAGAAACUAAAACCUAGCUACAUGCAUUAAAAUGUUAUUUACAACACCACUAACAGACGGUCUAGAAUUAUCAUAUAUGGCAUCAUCCCUCGCUUUCCAAAUAAAGUAAACCAUAGUAAAAAGAGCAAGCUCCCUCCGUCUACGAUCUGCUUUCCAAGUACCACGAUCCUUAGAAAUCCACUUGACACCUGCAAAGAUGGUAGAAAUACGUCUUUGCCACCACCCAAUGAAAGAGCACACUUGGUUCCAAACAGUACUUGAAACAGAACACCGAAAAAACAAAUAAUCCCUUGAUUCAUGAAAACCCACACAAAAAUAGCACUCCGUGCAAUCUCCCUCGGCAUGCCAACGAUCUAAAGUAGCUAAGCGAUUCUUAGCUACUAUCCACAUACGAAACACAUGCUUCCUAGGGACGCACGAAGACCAUAUCUUUGCAAAGAAGAACCUCCUUGGGGCUAAUGGGGAAACCAUAUUAUAAAGCUUCCGAGUAACAAGGCUGCCCAAUUCAGAACACUCCAUGAAAGCAUCAAUAGGAUCACCUGGCAACCGUGCUCGCAUACGAUCACGUGCCUUAAGCAAAUCCUUCCACACAAUAGACGCAUCAUUGGUUGGGAUAGCAUCCCAAACUGACACCCCAUGAACAUAAACUUCAUGAAUCCAUCGAAGCCAUAAUGAAUUCUUCUCCAAAUGAAUGUCCCAUAUAACACCACAAAAUGCUACAUUAUUCAUAAGCUCAAUGUUACUAAGUCCCAAUCCUCCUUGCUCCUUAGAGAGGAGAACUUCAGACCAUUUAACAGAGCCACGCUUUCUGC
Molecule: ribosomal RNA, 2978 nt
Filed under: Pogostemon cablin (patchouli)
Lineage: Eukaryota; Viridiplantae; Streptophyta; Magnoliopsida; Lamiales; Lamiaceae
Description: eukaryotic LSU rRNA
Rfam family: Eukaryotic large subunit ribosomal RNA (bases 3-2349)
Source: RNAcentral